This 344-nucleotide unclassified non-coding RNA is filed under the name soil metagenome. RNAcentral describes it as "partial contains 5.8S ribosomal RNA, internal transcribed spacer 2, and large subunit ribosomal RNA". The stretch from base 1 to 119 matches the Rfam family "5.8S ribosomal RNA", at positions 35 to 154 of the family's 154-position model. The record is from RNAcentral.
GAUGAAGACGUAGCGAAAUGCGAUACGUAAUGUGAAUUGCAGAAUUCAGUGAAUCAUCGAGUCUUUGAACGCACAUUGCGCCCUCUGGUAUUCCGGAGGGCAUGCCUGUCCGAGCGUCAUUGCUGCCCUCAAGCACGGCUUGUGUGUUGGGCUCCGUCCCCCGAUCCCGGGGGACGGGCCCGAAAGGCAGCGGCGGCACCGCGUCCGGUCCUCGAGCGUAUGGGGCUUUGUCACCCGCUCUGUAGGCCCGGCCGGCGCUUGCCGAUCAACCAAAUUUUUAUCCAGGUUGACCUCGGAUCAGGUAGGGAUACCCGCUGAACUUAAGCAUAUCAAUAAGCGGAGGA